GACGAACGCUGGCGGCGUGCCUAAUACAUGCAAGUAGAACGCUGAAGGAGGAGCUUGCUUCUCUGGAUGAGUUGCGAACGGGUGAGUAACGCGUAGGUAACCUGCCUGGUAGCGGGGGAUAACUAUUGGAAACGUUAGCUAAUACCGCAUAAGAGUAGAUGUUGCAUGACAUUUGCUUAAAAGGUGCAAUUGCAUCACUACCAGAUGGACCUGCGUUGUAUUAGCUAGUUGGUGGGGUAACGGCUCACCAAGGCGACGAUACAUAGCCGACCUGAGAGGGUGAUCGGCCACACUGGGACUGAGGCACGGCCCAGACUCCUACGGGAGGCAGCAGUAGGGAAUCUUCGGCAAUGGACGGAAGUCUGACCGAGCAACGCCGCGUGAGUGAAGAAGGUUUUCGGAUCGUAAAGCUCUGUUGUAAGAGAAGAACGAGUGUGAGAGUGGAAAGUUCACACUGUGACGGUAUCUUACCAGAAAGGGACGGCUAACUACGUG
This 495-nucleotide ribosomal RNA is filed under the name uncultured bacterium. RNAcentral describes it as "partial 16S ribosomal RNA". It matches the Rfam family "Bacterial small subunit ribosomal RNA", at positions 28 to 507 of the family's 1533-position model. The record is from RNAcentral.